UGCAAGUCGAGCGAAAGACGAGGAGCUUGCUCCUCUGACGUUAGCGGCGGACGGGUGAGUAACACGUGGAUAACCUACCUAUAAGACUGGGAUAACUUCGGGAAACCGGAGCUAAUACCGGAUAAUAUAUUGAACCGCAUGGUUCAAUAGUGAAAGACGGUUUUGCUGUCACUUAUAGAUGGAUCCGCGCCGCAUUAGCUAGUUGGUAAGGUAACGGCUUACCAAGGCAACGAUGCGUAGCCGACCUGAGAGGGUGAUCGGCCACACUGGAACUGAGACACGGUCCAGACUCCUACGGGAGGCAGCAGUAGGGAAUCUUCCGCAAUGGGCGAAAGCCUGACGGAGCAACGCCGCGUGAGUGAUGAAGGUCUUCGGAUCGUAAAACUCUGUUAUUAGGGAAGAACAAAUGUGUAAGUAACUAUGCACGUCUUGACGGUACCUAAUCAGAAAGCCACGGCUAACUACGUGCCAGCAGCCGCGGUAAUACGUAGGUGGCAAGCGUUAUCCGGAAUUAUUGGGCGUAAAGCGCGCGUAGGCGGUUUUUUAAGUCUGAUGUGAAAGCCCACGGCUCAACCGUGGAGGGUCAUUGGAAACUGGAAAACUUGAGUGCAGAAGAGGAAAGUGGAAUUCCAUGUGUAGCGGUGAAAUGCGCAGAGAUAUGGAGGAACACCAGUGGCGAAGGCGACUUUCUGGUCUGUAACUGACGCUGAUGUGCGAAAGCGUGGGGAUCAAACAGGAUUAGAUACCCUGGUAGUCCACGCCGUAAACGAUGAGUGCUAAGUGUUAAGGGGGGUUUCCGCCCCCUUAGUGCUGCAGCUAACGCAUUAAGCACUCCGCCUGGGGGAGUACGACCGCAAAGGUUGAAACUCAAAGGAAUUGACGGGGACCCGCACAAGCGGUGGAACCAGGUGGUUUAAUUCGAAGCAACGCGAAGAACCUUACCAAAUCUUGACAUCCUCUGACCCCUCUAGAAGAUAGAGUUUUCCCCUUCGGGGGACAGAGUGACAGGUGGUUGCAUGGUUGUCGUCAGCUCGUGUC
RNAcentral lists this ribosomal RNA (1038 nucleotides) under Staphylococcus epidermidis. RNAcentral's name for it is "bacterial SSU rRNA". It matches the Rfam family "Bacterial small subunit ribosomal RNA", at positions 56 to 1066 of the family's 1533-position model. The record is from RNAcentral. Lineage: Bacteria; Bacillati; Bacillota; Bacilli; Caryophanales; Staphylococcaceae.